This is an RNA transcript of Scylla paramamosain (green mud crab), 2685 nucleotides long. RefSeq lists it as uncharacterized. The transcript has 8 exons. The record is from RefSeq and is a predicted model, not a curated record. Lineage: Eukaryota; Metazoa; Arthropoda; Malacostraca; Decapoda; Portunidae.
GUUUAAAUGUUUCAUAAAGCGUGCAUUGUUAUAUUUCGUAAAUGUAUAAACGAAGUGACACAUGCAAAUAAAUUCAAAAGAAAAGUACACGAGCAGGGAAAAAAAAAAAGGAAAAAAGUAGUUUCACACCACACACACACACACACACACACACACACACACACACACACACACACACACACACACCAGAAGAAUUACGCCAUGAAUCAUAAAAUCCAGUGCCUCUUCGUGUCGUCCCGGGAAGUCAUUAAAGCUGAUGAAGUUCAUUGUUGACUCACUGCACCUCUCAGCCUCGCCUCGCCUCGCUGCGGGAAGGGCAGGGUGAACCAUUCCUGCCCUGCGCUGCCCCGGGACUGCCUAGCGGCGGCAUCUUUUCCUCAGCGGUCCCUUCCCUAAUUCAUAAUGUUGAUAGUAAAGGAGAGGGGAAAUGUGCGUAUGGUGGAGUUCAGGAAGGGAUGGGUAGUGAUACAAUGAUACGUAGGGUAGGGUUAUGAAAGAGAUUGGUAGUGAUGUUUGCUACUCCUUUACUAAUUCAUAAUGCUAAUAGUAUAAGAGGGACACGUGUUUAAUUAGGGUGGAGUUUAGUGAUAGCGAUGACAUCCAAGUGUGAGUGGCAUGAGCGUCUCCUGUCAGGGCGUUCAAGGUCGAUGCGGAGACUGGCAGGGUGAGGCAUUAUUUAGAACGCGGUAUCGAAAGGGCAGUUUGAAGCUUCACCUCACUGUAACUCCACUCCUCGUCCUUCUGUUCUUUCAGUCAUUCUCUGCUGUCUUAACCUUCUCUCCCUGCCUCGCCAGACAUCGCCAGUAAACAGGUGGUAAUGUAGCUUGAGGCAAAGGGCUUACAUUAAGCUCUCGUCAAGAAGAGGGUGAAAAUUGACUAACAGGAGGAGGAUAGCGAGGUGAAGUUCCUUUCGGUCAGUGUUUGAGCCAAGAAUCGCGUCUGCAGUUGAUAAUGGUUCACGAUACUUUUUCUUGUCAGGGUUCUGGGUCGUCUCCUUGCUCUUGUUGAUCAGUAACAUUUUUCCGGUGUAACAAAGCAAUACUGAAUCCCGAAGGUUUAUAAGGCAUGGCAAUCCUGAACCGAAAAUCGGCACCACGCAUGAUUCUUCUGGGCUCGGCGGCACAGCCAGGCGUAUGACGCAGUGUGAGUUCUGCCGGGCUGAUUCUUCCCUAUACGGGCUUCCCUUGGCGCUCCUCGUUCUAUAAUACUCAAAUCGUUUCUUACUGCGUCUUAAAAGAUUAUAUUUGUGGUAUUAUAUAUCAGUUAGUAGCCUCUUGAUGGCUGUGAUCCAGCGCGACACGUUGGUACACUGCGCGGCGCUAACAGGUCACGGAGAGAGUUGACGCUCAGUGGCACUGAGCGAGUGAUGGGUGAUUGUGUGCGCGGCUUGCCCCUUUUCCGCCCGAGGAAGUUGAGGACCGACUUGUAACUAUGUAGCUUCGCCCUUAUAGUUUUUGAAAAAAAGUUAAUGCAGUGCAGUUGAUUACUACUGAAAUAGUACUCCAUGUUUUUACCGAGAUUAGUGUGGCGGGGAAUGUUGCAGAGUUGAUACAUGAAUGGGAGUUUUAGUACAAGCGAACAUUAGUUUGGCGACAACCACCUGUGAGUGUCUUGUGAUCGCGUAGUGCUGCCUCCAGGUGCUGGCAGGCCCCUGUGGUGAUGGGGGCCGCGCUGCACAUACUGCUGCUCAUCGCUCACGCAGCCCUCGCCGCCGCCACCAAGGCAGGUGUGUGACGGCCACUGCCUGCCUGCCUGCCUGCCUGCUGCUGCUGUUACUUUUACUGCCUGCCUCCUUGCUUCGUUAAGGCCACAGUCUGCUGAAGCUGCGCAAGGCUCGGCCAGACCAGCGGUGGGUUGGGGCAGCUGGCAUGGACAGUCGCAAGUAUCGCAUCUGUGGGGAGGCUGGCGCUGAGCUGACCAUUCCUGUCCCUACAGGCACCACCGUCUGGCUCGAGCAGCACCAGAAAUUGCUGGGGACACAUUGUGAAGCUGGAACUGAAGCUGUUGGCCGAUGUGGGUCUGGUGGGCUUCCCUAACGUUGGCAAGUCCACACUGCUGUGGGCCAUCUCCAGGGCCAGACCCAGGGUGGCCAGCUACCCCUUCACGACACUGCAGCCGACCCUGGGUGUGGUGGAGUACAGUGGCAUGUGGCGGCUGACCAUUGCUGACCUGCCAAGACUCAUCGAGGGCGCCUGGGCCAAUGUGGGGAUGGGGCACCGCUUCCUGCGCCACAUGGAGUAGACACACUUCCUCCUCUUUGUGGUGGACGUCAACGGCUUCCGGCUGUCACCCAAACAGCCAUACCGUUCACCCACCGAGAAUGUCAUGCUGGUCAACAAGACUAUGUGUUGUGUUGCUCCUGUGGUGCCAAACUCAGAGAACUCAUGGGAUAACUUUGUAAACAUCUCCAUUCCACUGUCUGAGGCAUCCCAGCUGGUGACCAUCCUGGGACACCCCCACCUCAUGGUCCAGACCCUCAGGAACCCUGCUGACCUUGCUUUUGACUUGGUGACUGUCAGGAGGUCAGGCUGCUCAGGAGUGGGAGAGGAUAUUUGAACCAGAAAGCAAAGCCAACACAACCCACUUCAAAGCUUCCUUGGAGGGUUUCUAUGGACUCAUUCUAGAGAAACUGGUCACUGAGAAAUUUUCAGAUUCCUCAUUGGCCUUCCCAAGCACCAGCAGUUU